Molecule: non-coding RNA, 310 nt
Organism: Pelobates cultripes (western spadefoot toad)
Lineage: Eukaryota; Metazoa; Chordata; Amphibia; Anura; Pelobatidae
Source: the annotation of a GenBank genome assembly
GGGGGUGACUAGUGACAGUAGUGAGAGAGGGGGUGACUAGUGACAGAGUGAGGGAGCGGGUGACACAGUGACAGAGUUAGGGAGGGAGUAACUAGUGACAGAGAGAGGGAUGGGGUGACUAGUGACAGUCACCCCCCCUCACUCUGUCACCAGUCAUCCCCUCACUCUGUCACUAGUCACCCCUUCCCUCCCUCACUCUGCCACUAGUCACCCAUUCCCUCACUCUGUCACUAGUCACCCAUUCCCUCACUCUGUCACUAGUCUCCCAUUCCCUCCCUCUGUCACUAGUCUCCCCCUCUCCUUCCCUCUG